CCUACGGGUGGCAGCAGUGAGGAAUAUUGGGCAAUGGGCGAGAGCCUGAACCAGCCAAGUCGCGUGAGGGAGUACUGCCCUAUGGGUUGUAAACCUCUUUUGUCGGGGAGAAAAAGCCGGACGUGUCCGGCUGUUAGAGUACCCGAAGAAAAAGAAUCGGCUAACUCCGUGCCAGCAGCCGCGGUAGUACGGAGGAUGCGAGCGUGAGCGGGGUUUAUUGGGUUUAAAGGGGGCGCAGGCGGAUUUUUAAGUCUGAGGUCAAAGCGUGGGGCUCACCCCCAGCCAGCCGUUGAAACUGGGGGUCUAGAGUGUGGGAGAGGUAUGCGGAAUGCGUGGUGUAGCGGUGAAAUGCAUAGAUAUCACGCAGAACCCCGAUUGCGAAGGCAGCAUACCGGUGCACAACUGACGCUCAGGCACGAAAGCGUGGGUAUCGAACAGGAUUAGAUACCCCAGUAGUC
Molecule: ribosomal RNA, 458 nt
Filed under: uncultured bacterium
Lineage: Bacteria
Description: partial 16S ribosomal RNA
Rfam family: Bacterial small subunit ribosomal RNA
Source: RNAcentral